This 284-nucleotide ribosomal RNA is filed under the name uncultured Hyphomicrobiales bacterium. RNAcentral describes it as "uncultured Rhizobiales bacterium partial 16S ribosomal RNA". It matches the Rfam family "Bacterial small subunit ribosomal RNA", at positions 526 to 809 of the family's 1533-position model. The record is from RNAcentral. Lineage: Bacteria; Pseudomonadati; Pseudomonadota; Alphaproteobacteria; Hyphomicrobiales.
CGAAGGGGGCUAGCGUUGCUCGGAAUCACUGGGCGUAAAGGGCGCGUAGGCGGCCAUUUAAGUCGGGGGUGAAAGCCUGUGGCUCAACCACAGAAUUGCCUUCGAUACUGGGUGGCUUGAGUCCGGAAGAGGUUGGUGGAACUGCGAGUGUAGAGGUGAAAUUCGUAGAUAUUCGCAAGAACACCGGUGGCGAAGGCGGCCAACUGGUCCGGAACUGACGCUGAGGCGCGAAAGCGUGGGGAGCAAACAGGAUUAGAUACCCUGGUAGUCAAGGGCGAAUUCGC